RNAcentral lists this transfer RNA (58 nucleotides) under Salmo salar (Atlantic salmon). It matches the Rfam family "tRNA", at positions 8 to 63 of the family's 71-position model. Rfam says of the family: Transfer RNA (tRNA) molecules are approximately 80 nucleotides in length. Their secondary structure includes four short double-helical elements and three loops (D, anti-codon, and T loops). Lineage: Eukaryota; Metazoa; Chordata; Actinopteri; Salmoniformes; Salmonidae. The record is from Rfam by way of RNAcentral.
UAGCUCCGUUGGUAGAGCAUGGUGUUUGCAACGCCAGGGUUGUGGGUUCAUUUCCCAC